UGCGACGAGUUGACUCAAUCAGACAGCUUUGCUGUUCCGUUUUGACGGCUAGUGAUUGACCAAUCCACAGAGGCACAUAUGUUUAAUCAUACCUACCGGAUGUAGGCGUGUCGGAUAAAUAUUUUUGUGGAGAAG
RNAcentral lists this non-coding RNA (135 nucleotides) under Candidatus Enterococcus dunnyi. Its description in RNAcentral is "Enterococcus sp. 9D6_DIV0238 Enterococcus sRNA 68 (Lacto-3 RNA)". It matches the Rfam family "Enterococcus sRNA 68 (Lacto-3 RNA)". Rfam says of the family: Name 'Ref' stands for RNA in E. faecalis. Also known as Lacto-3 RNA. The record is from Rfam by way of RNAcentral. Lineage: Bacteria; Bacillati; Bacillota; Bacilli; Lactobacillales; Enterococcaceae.